RNAcentral lists this ribosomal RNA (487 nucleotides) under uncultured bacterium. Its description in RNAcentral is "partial 16S ribosomal RNA". It matches the Rfam family "Bacterial small subunit ribosomal RNA", at positions 30 to 504 of the family's 1533-position model. The record is from RNAcentral.
AUUGAACGCUGGCGGCAGGCCUAACACAUGCAAGUCGAACGGUAACAGGAAGCAGCUUGCUGCUUCGCUGACGAGUGGCGGACGGGUGAGUAAUGUCUGGGAAGCUGCCUGAUGGAGGGGGAUAACUACUGGAAACGGUAGCUAAUACCGCAUAAUGUCGCAAGACCAAAGAGGGGGACCUUCGGGCCUCUUGCCAUCGGAUGUGCCCAGAUGGGAUUAGCUUGUUGGUGGGGUAACGGCUCACCAAGGCGACGAUCCCUAGCUGGUCUGAGAGGAUGACCCGCCACACUGGAACUGAGACACGGUCCAGACUCCUACGGGAGGCAGCAGUGGGGAAUAUUGCACAAUGGGCGCAAGCCUGAUGCAGCCAUGCCGCGUGUAUGAAGAAGGCCUUCGGGUUGUAAAGUACUUUCAGCGGGGAGGAAGGGAGUAAAGUUAAUACCUUUGCUCAUUGACGUUACCCGCAGAAGAAGCACCGGCUAACUCC